This 279-nucleotide unclassified non-coding RNA is filed under the name plant metagenome. Its description in RNAcentral is "partial contains small subunit ribosomal RNA, internal transcribed spacer 1, and 5.8S ribosomal RNA". The record is from RNAcentral.
UCUCCGUUGGUGAACCAGCGGAGGGAUCAUUACCGGAGUUUUACAACUCCCAACCCUCCUGUGAACCAACUUUUUGUUUCCUCGGCGGACUCGCCCCACCGUCCGGUCGGCCCCGCGCCGGCCCGCGACCGGGACCACGGAGUCCGCCGGAGACCACACCAUCCUGUAUCCAUCAGUCUCUCUGAAUCCGCCGCAUGGCAAAACAAACUAUUCAAUACUGUCAACAAGGGAACUCUUGGAUCUCGCAUGGAUAAAGAACGCAGCAGAUCGGACGAGCAG